GACGAACGCUGGCGGCGUGCUUAACACAUGCAAGUCGAACGGAAAGGCCCUGCUUUUGUGGGGUGCUCGAGUGGCGAACGGGUGAGUAACACGUGAGUAACCUGCCCUUGACUUUGGGAUAACUUCAGGAAACUGGGGCUAAUACCGGAUAGGAGCUCCUGCUGAAUGGUGGGGGUUGGAAAGUUUCGGCGGUUGGGGAUGGACUCGCGGCUUAUCAGCUUGUUGGUGGGGUAGUGGCUUACCAAGGCUUUGACGGGUAGCCGGCCUGAGAGGGUGACCGGCCACAUUGGGACUGAGAUACGGCCCAGACUCCUACGGGAGGCAGCAGUGGGGAAUAUUGCACAAUGGGCGGAAGCCUGAUGCAGCAACGCCGCGUGCGGGAUGACGGCCUUCGGGUUGUAAACCGCUUUCGCCUGUGACGAAGCGUGAGUGACGGUAAUGGGUAAAGAAGCACCGGCUAAAUACGUG
Molecule: ribosomal RNA, 468 nt
Filed under: uncultured bacterium
Lineage: Bacteria
Description: partial 16S ribosomal RNA
Rfam family: Bacterial small subunit ribosomal RNA
Source: RNAcentral